GACGGAAGGUGCAAGCGUUGCUCGGAAUCACUGGGCGUAAAGGGCGCGUAGGCGGCACGGUAAGUCGGGAGUGAAAGCCCGGGGCUCAACCCCGGAACGUCUUUCGAAACUGCCGAGCUAGAGUGCGGAAGAGGCAACUGGAAUUCCCAGUGUAGCGGUGAAAUGCGUAGAUAUUGGGAAGAACACCUGAGGCGAAGGCGGGUUGCUGGGCCGACACUGACGCUGAUGCGCGAAAGCCAGGGGAGCGAACGGG
Molecule: ribosomal RNA, 253 nt
Filed under: uncultured bacterium
Lineage: Bacteria
Description: partial 16S ribosomal RNA
Rfam family: Bacterial small subunit ribosomal RNA
Source: RNAcentral